This 431-nucleotide ribosomal RNA is filed under the name uncultured bacterium. RNAcentral's name for it is "bacterial SSU rRNA". It matches the Rfam family "Bacterial small subunit ribosomal RNA", at positions 354 to 777 of the family's 1533-position model. The record is from RNAcentral.
GUUAGGAAUAUUCGUCAAUGGGGGAAACCCUGAACGAGCAAUGCCGCGUGAGUGAUGAAGGUCCUUUGGAUUGUAAAACUCUGUUGUAUGGGAAGAACGACCAAACUAGGAAAUGAGUUUGGAAUGACGGUACCAUGCCAGAAAGCUUCGGCUAACUACGUGCCAGCAGCCGCGGUAAUACGUAGGAAGCGAGCGUUAUCCGGAUUUAUUGGGCGUAAAGGGUGCGUAGGCGGCUUGUUAAGUAUGAAAUUAAAGUCCGGGGCUUAACCUCGGUUCGUUUCGUAAACUGGCUAGCUUGAGUAUGGAAGAGGCAAACGGAAUUUCUAGUGUAGCGGUGGAAUGCGUAGAUAUUAGAAGGAACACCAGUGGCGAAGGCGGUUUGCUGGGCCAUUACUGACGCUGAGGCACGAAAGCGUGGGGAGCAAAUAGGA